Pan troglodytes (chimpanzee) is the source of this 8896-nucleotide RNA transcript. It is a transcript of the gene named SH2 domain containing 1B, with no coding region annotated. Lineage: Eukaryota; Metazoa; Chordata; Mammalia; Primates; Hominidae. The transcript has 6 exons. The record is from RefSeq and is a predicted model, not a curated record.
UCCCUCUGGAACAGCAGUCUGUACUUUUCUAUAUUUAGAGGAAGUCUCAAGUGUAGGACGAUUGCUGCAGUCUGGAGUCUUCACUGGUACAGCAAGAUGAUGGAUUGUUUUUCAGUACUUGUUUCCUCCUAUGUAAUGAUUAUUUUUUUCUUUGUAGCUUCACAUUACUGGUUUGCUGCGUUGCUGUUCCCCAGACCAAGCAGAAGCAUCUGUAACAUCUGAAGGAAGAACCCAGGCCCGCAGCUCACCCACUACAGAACCUAGGGACCUUAUCCUUCUUCCAGGUGUUUUUGGUGAGUCCAUAGAACAGACACCGUUCCAGGAACUUGAGAUACAUCAGUGAACAGAAUUAAGGUCCUUGACUUCGUUCAGCUUAUGUUCUACCCAGAGAAUUCAGACACAAACAAUACUCUUAAUAGAAAGGGUCUCUGCCACCCAGGCUGAAGUGCAGUGGUGUGAUCUCAGCUUACUGCAGCAUCCAUCUCCAGAGCUCAAGCGAUCCUGCCACCUCAGCCUCCCAAGUAGCUGGGACUAAAGAACACCUCAAGAUGGCAUUACAGAUCCCAUAUUCAGAGAUGAUAGAAUCCACUCUAACUUGAGGCCUUGGCAGCUGCUCUGUUUUGAAACAGUAAUUUUAAAAGACACAAAUAGCAAUUAAGGACCUUUCCAGGUCAUGCUAGGAGAAGACUCAGAUCAUCAAGGAGUAAGAACUCAGCAAGAAAUCCAGACCCCUUUAAUGCAAAGAUCUCUGACUCUUUCAUUUCCAACUCUUGAGCACCGGCAUAAAGGAAGGGGUAAGUUGUAUGUUUUUCAGCCAGCCACAACCACAGCCAGGGGCUGCCAGACUGAAGAAGGACAAAAAAGAAUAAGGAGAGAAAAGAAAAAAGAAUCUACCUAGGAAAGGUUCUGGACGGACAAAAAGAGUGAAACUGGGAGACCGCCUUUACCAAGGGUCAUACAGCCCGCCAGGCUUAGUGGGUAGCCCACUCACCCUUACCAGUAGGGACCUGGUCCUCUAUGCCCUUACUCACUGAAUAUCCUCAGAGUGUAACUGGACAGCUUUGCAGAGGUCUCUGUGGCUAUCUGGGCACUGUAAAAGCCUGUGUUUUCCAUCUCCAGGUUGCUGAGCUGCGGGGAGUAGGACUGGGUGAAGCUCAGUCGCUUUUGCCAUUUCGGAUGAGUCAUGUAGAUUUUUGGACUUUUGCCUUCAUAGGGUUCUAGGAAGGCAAAAGAUGUUCCAUUGCAAAGCCAAGUGAUGAACUGGAUCCUCUCUCCUGCAGGAAACUCCAGGGGAAGAGUUACUGACUCCCCCAGAACCCCAUUCCCCAUCAAUGGGGUUGAGCUGCUUUGUGAAACUAGAUUCCCUGUGAACACAGAAGGAAAAGGCUACAAAAUGUCCCUGACAAUUGUCCCUCCCCACAAGUCUCCCAGUCAGUCAUAGCUCCCCUAUGUUGGGGCCCACAAGAAUGUUGGACAUAAACAGGUAUUAGCAGUGGUGUUGUGGCCGGAGCUCAAAGUGGGCAAUGCUUAAACUCUCCUUCCUGCUGGGAUCUCCAGUGAUCACCCCAGGGAUCCUUCCAGCUAGGAUCACUCAUCCCUGUCUCUGGGGUUGUGUUCCCCUGAGAGCUAUUGGCCCUGGAAGACCAGAAUGGAGACCACUGGGGAAGUCAGAAGCCAGCCUUGCCCUGCCUGGUCCCUCUUUUUUUUUCAGUUUGAGAUUUCAACUCUCACAACUUCCUAUUUUCUGAAAUGUUUCUGCCCCACAGAACUGGAGUUUCACUGUCACUGCAGUUCUGGUAUCUCAAAGGUAUGUGAUAUAAAGAUCUCAGAUGACAUACAGGACACCUGCUUCUUAGUCCUGAUCCUGCCUCUAUUGAGAUGUGCAGCUUUGGGGAAGCCUGUUGAUUCUUCCAGUCCUUUUCUCUUCUUUUUUAAAACAAGGGAGAUAAAAUGCAGAGCUUUUCAGAAUGCUUCCAACUCUGACUUUCACAAUGUCAUUAUUCUAUGUACCUUAGAUUUUUCUCUUUUCCUUUUCCUCCUUGCCCUCAUUCACUCCCUAGUCAGUCUUUCCCAUGUCCAAGAGUCUCUCAAUGUCUUCUAUCUUCUUGUCCCCCAAUCUCCCUAAUAUGAGGUCUCAGUUCUGAAAAUAUCUGGCUGGGCUGUGCCUGUGUAGACUUCCUACCCCCUGGGAGGUCAGGGAAGGAGCCUCUGACUCAUUCACCUUUCUGAAACUGGAGGAGAAAGAGGAGAAGCUGAGCAAGAGGUUUCAUGGUGGCAGGACUGACCUGGUUUGCCUUGAAGAUCACAAGGAGUUAAGAGGAAGGCAAAAGAGAACAUUAAGUCCUGUUCUGCAGCAUGAACAGCUAAUAGAUUAAACUCUCUUUGUUCCCCAUGCUGAUCACAUGAUCACAUUUGCUAACCAUUUCUCUCUUUCUUUCUUUCUUUUCUUUUCUUUUCCUUUUUUUUCUUUUUCUUUCUUUCUCCAUUCUCACACUGCUACAAAGAACUUCCUGAGACUGGGUAAUUUAUAAAGGAAAGAAGUUUAAUUGACUCACAGUUCCACAUGUCUGGGGAGGCCUCAGGAAACUUACAAUCAUGGUGGAAGGCAAAGGGGAAGCAAGGACCUUUUUCACACAGUAGCCGGGGAGAGAAGUACAAGCAGGGGAAAUGCCAGACACUUAUGAAACCAUCAGAUCUCAUGAGAACUUAUUCACUUUCACAAGAACAGCAUGGAAGAACCACCCCCAUGAUCCAAUCACCUCCCACCAGGUUUCUCCUUCAACACGUGGGGAUUACAAUUCAGGAUGAGAUAGAUGAGAUUUGGGUAGGUGCACAAAGCUAACCAUAUCUCUUUCUCUCGUUCUUUCUUGUUUGCUUCCUGGCUUUUUUUCUUUUGUUCUUUCUUUCCUCCUUCUUCGUGUGUGUGUGUGUGUGUGUGUGUGUGUGUGUGUAGCAGAGAGCAUAUGGGAAAUCUCUGUAUCUUUCACUCAGUUUUUUAAAUGGACACAAUAUUUGUUCGUAUUUAUGGGGUACAAUGUGAUAUUUUGAUACAUAUAUACAAUGUGUUAUUUUCUUUUAAUUGGGCUAGACACUUGCCUCAGCUUCAGUCCUUAUAGUCCUCAUUUGUUCAGAAAUAUUGAGAUUCCACUGUAGAAGAACCUAAUACACUUAUGAAAUGGUUCUGAUAUAAUUGGCUAGUUUUGGUCAGACACAGUGGCUUACACCUGUAAUCCCAGCACUUUGGGAGGCUUAGGCAGGUGGAUCACUUGAGGCCGUGAGUUCGAGAGCAGCCUGGCCAACAUUGUAAAACCCCAUCUCUACUAAAAAUACAAAAAUUAGCCAGGCAUGGUGGCGUGUGCCUGUAAUCCAUACUCGAGAGGCUGAGGCAGGAGAAUCACUUGAACCCGGGAGGUGGAGGUUGCAGUGAGCCAAGAUUGUGCCACUGCACUCCAGCCUGGGCAACAGAGCAAGACUCUGUCUCAAUAAUAAUAACAAUAAUAAUUGGCUGGUUUUUUCUAUUUAAAUCCCUGUCUUACCCUUAACAUAAAAUACACCCUGAAUGGUUUACAAAGUUAAAUGAAAAGAAUAAAACCACCAUGUGCUGCUACCUCCAAAUAAGUAAUAGGAAUUAAGUGGAAGGUGCUACAUGGUCUGUCCCAACAAUGCACUUUUUAAGAAAACAGGUGCAAUACAAUUCAAUUGAUCAGCAAAAAAAUUCCUCCAGCACUGUUGGCAUUGAUGAGCUUGACCCAAUACUUCUUUGGAUUGGCAAUGGACUUUGUUACAUAGGGCUGGAUUCAUAAAAUACCACUGGCAUCAUGUAAUAAACACUAAUGUAGACUAUCUUAUGAUGGGGUUAAGGGGUGGAUAAUUACAAGAAUAAAGAGCCCAAGGGCAAGCAUGUAGCCAGAACUCAAAAAGCACUUAAUCUAGGAAAUGAAAACCAAGGGGACACCAACCAGGACUGUCUCUUGACCCUGUUCUGUAUGUGUCUAAUUUACUUUUCUCUUUCUGGAUCAGCUCUCUCUCCACCUGCCUACUGGUAGAAUAUGGUCACCAGUACACAGCUAUUAUAGGGCUAGCCAUAUCUAGAGACUCAUCACCGUUCUCUCUCCUUGUCUUCAUUUCUUCCUUCUCUCCCGAUUCAAAAUUCCUGGGAGAAGGGACUCUAGUUAGGGCAGUAAGGUUAUCUGCAAAUUUGCCUAUCUCAUUCUUACUUUCCACAAUGUGAGAAAGUAAGGGUAUUCUAGUAAAGUGGAAAACCAUUCUCAACUGCUAAUAAUUCAAGAGAAUUGGCCUAACAUAGGACUGUUUUUAGAAAUUUUCAGCCAAGCAUUAGUUGAGAUAAUUGUAAAUGAACUCCCAAAAUAUCUACCAACACAAACUCAAUAUUUAUUACUAUUUUUGCCACUCUUAUUUUAUGUAUACUUUUCUUCCUUUCUUCUUAUCCAAGUGUUGAAAGCAAAUCCUAUAUAUUAUGCUAUCAUCCCUACAUAUUUCACUAUGUGUUUAAAAAUAGAUACAUAUACUUUCUUACAUAACCUUAAUGCCAUUAUCCCAACUAAAAAACUGAAAAAUAAUUCAUUGGUAUUGUAAAAUACCUGGUCCAUAUUCAAAGUUCCUCUGAUGGCAAAAAACAUGUCGUAGUUGGUUUUGUUUUAAUCAGGAUCCAGACAAAAUCCUUAUGCUAUGUUUUGUUAUUGAACCUCAUAAAUAUCUUCUAGUAUAGAGAAUUCAGUACUCUUUUCUCCCCUCCUUUUUUCCCCCUUUUUGUUUUUGGAGGGAAGUCUCUCCUUCACUCUUCCCUUUUCUCAUGAAUUUAUAAACUUAACUAUUUCAAUCAACUGCAAUCAUCUCUAUAUUGGUGCUUAAAUUUUCUCACUUGUGGCCAAUAUGAGCACCCUCCCCCAACUUUAUGUUGGUUCCUAUAUUAUUUUAACAUGCCUGCAUUAAUAUUUUUAAAUUUCUUUGAAUUCUUGAACAAGAAAGUAUCCCAGGCUUAUCUUGUUCAUUAUCUGCUAUAGACAGGAGAUCAGCCAUUUCUCAAAAGAUGACUGAUUCUUUUCAUGGGGGAAUAGUAUGUAAGGAUCAAAAUUUUGUCUCUAAGCAUACAUACUGAUAUUGGGUUGCAUUGCUUCCAGGUCUUUUUAGAGAAAAGAACUAGAAAAUUCAUAUUCUAAAAAAUAGAACAAAAGUUUGCAUAUAUUUUCCUGAUUUUUAUUUAGAUUAUUUGUUUUACACGUAUCUUUUUUUUCUUACAAGAGAAAGCCUAUUUUUUGACAGCACUGAUGUAAAAACAUGUUCAGUUUAUCUUGGAAAAAAUAUAUAGUUUUUAAAUAAUAAUACCAAAAUUAUUUAUAGCAACAAUAAACACUGAAUGAGUAUAGAAUUUCUUUACAAAUCUACUUAUCCUUAGAAUAUCCUCCACUUAGAAUGUAUAAUUAAAAUGUUGGGGCUGAUUUUACUGCUGUCAAAUCAGCUUAAGAUUAAAUAGGGUUCUCCAUGGAUCAGCCCUCUGACCAAGCAAGACUGUGAGACCUUGCUGCUCAAGGAAGGUGGGGAUGGCAACUUUUUGUUAAGAGACAGCGAGUUGAUGACAGGAGUCCUGUGCCUCUGUAUCUGUUGAGUAGCCUCAUCUUUCACACAAGACAUCUUAUGUUGAAUGCAGCAACGGCUGCCACACAUCACAGGAAUUAAUAUGCCUCAGGAUUUCACUCUGACCUUGCAGCUCCAAUGAGUAGAGUGAGAAAUCGUAGACACUGCCAGGAAAGGAUGGAAGGAAUGUGCCUGUCCAUGGUCCUCCAUCUGCCCUGUUGUCCCUGGUGUAAGUGUGAGCCGACUCUGUAGCAGCAGGAGGGAUGUGGGGUGGUGGUGAAGGGAACUUACAAGAUGUAGAAAACUACCUCAAAAGAUCAAAUCUAUAAAUUAUUGAUGUUCAGGAGGGGGUUGAGCAAAAGCAAAGGGUACAAAGCUUAUUUAAAGAAAUAGUUGGGCAUAGUGGCUCAUGCCCAUAAUCCCAGCACUUUGGGAGGCUGAAGAGGAUGGAUCGCUUGAGCACAGAAGUUCGAGACCAGUCUGGGCAACAUGGCGAAAUCCCUUCUCUAUUAAAAAAAUACAAAAAUUAUUCAGGCAUAGCGUCACAUGCCUGUAGUCCCACCUACUUGGCAGGGCUGAGGUGGAGGGAUCACUUCAGCCUGGGAGGCAAGAGUUGCAGUGAGCCAAGAUUGCUCCACUGCACUCUGGCCUGGGUGACAGAGUAAAACCUGGUCUCAACAAAAUAAUGUAAUAAGAAGUUUUUAAAAUUUAUUUUUUUAAAAAGAAGUAACUACAGAAAACUUCCCAAAACUUGAGAAAAGUAUAAAUAUCCAGGUACAGGAAGGACAAAGAACACCAAACAGAUUAAACUCAAAUAAGACUACCCCAAGGCAUAUAAUAAACUCUCAAAGGUCAAGCACAAAGAAUCCUAAAAGCAGCAAGAGAAAAGAAGCAACUAACAUAGCAAGAAACUCCAAUUCAUCUGGCAAUAGACUUCUCAAUGGAAACCAUACAGACCAGCAAGGAAUGGGAUGAUAUUUUCAAAGUGCUAAAAGAUAAAAACUACCAUGUUAGAAUACUGUAACCAGCAAAGCUAUCCUUCAAAUAAAGGAGAGAGAAAGUCUUCCCAGACAAACAGAAGAGGAGAAAAUUUAUCAUCACCAGACACACCUUAUAAGAAAUGCUAAAGAGAAGGAAAAAAAAACCCACAAAUGUGCAGAAAGAAGUCAUUUGAAGGUACAAAAUCCACUGGUAAAAUUAAGUACAUGGACAAACCCAAAAUACACUAAUACUGUAAUUGUGGUGUGCAGUUCACUCAUGAAUCUAGUAUGAAGCCCCAUAGACAAAUCUAUUGAAACCAGUAAUAGCUAGAGCAACCUGUUAAGAGAUAAGCAGUAUAAAAUAUGCAAAUUGGGACAACAAAAAGUCAAAAUGUGAGGGGGAUGGAAUUAAAGUGUAGAGGGUUAUUUUUUCUUUUUCUUUUUGUUUGUUUCUAUUCUUUUCUUUGUGAUCUAAGACAAGUCGUCACCUCUUUAAAAUGUCUCAUUAUAUCUAUGAUGUGUUUUUUGUAAGCCUCAUGGUAACCACAGUGCAAAAACCUAUAAUAGAUUCACUAAAAAUAAAAAGCAACAAAUUAAGACAUACUAUCAUAGCAAAUUGAUUAACCACAAAAAAAGACAGUAAGAAAGGGAAAGAGGGAUUACAAAACAACCUGAGAACAAGCAACAAAAUUUCAGUAAUAUGUCCUUAUGUAUCAAUAAUAACACAAUUUAAAAGGUCUCAAUUCUCCAACGAAAAGUCAGAGUGGCUGAAUGAAUAAAGAAACAAGACCCAACUAUACGCUGCCUAGAAGACAUUCACUUCACCGAUAAAGACACACACAGACUGAAAAUAAAGGAGUGGAGAAAAAUAUUCCAUGCAACUGGAAACCAAGUAGGAGCAGGAGUAGCUAUACUUAUAUGAGAUAUUAUAGACUACAAAUCAGAGACUAUAAAAGGAGACAAAGAAGGUCACUAUAUAAUGAUAACUCAGCAAGAAGAUAUCACAAUUAUAAGUAUCUAUGCACCCAACACUGGAGCUCCCAAGUAUAUAAAGCAAACAUUAACAGAUCUAAAGGGAGAGAUAGACUGCAAUUCAAUAAUAGUAGGGAACUUCAACAUCCCACUCUCAGUAAUAGACAGAUCAUCCAGACAGAAUGUCAACAGAGAAGCAUUAAACUAUACACUAGACCAAGUAGGUCUAACUGACAUUGACAGAACAUUUCACCCAACUGCCACAGAAGACACGUUAUUUUAAUCAGUGCACAGAACAUUCUCCAAAAUAGACCAUGUCUUAGACCACAAAACAAGUCUCAACAAAUUCAAAAAAGUACACAUCAUAUUACACAUAUUUUCUGACCACAAUGGGAUAAAUGAUACUUGAUGAUACCAACAAUAAUACAAAUACUACGCGAUGUAAAAUGGUAAAGACACUUUGGAAAAUAGUUUGAUUUCUUAAAAAGUUAAAAGUAGACCAUUCCUAGAUAUUUACCCAAAGAAAUUAAAACAUAUGUUUCCCUCCCCCUCCCCCUCCCCCUCUCCCUCUCCCUCUCUCCCUCUCCCUCUCCCUCUCCCCACGGUCUCCCUCUCCCUCUCUUUCCCCGGUCCCCCUCUGAUGCCGAGCCGAAGCUGGACUGUACUGCUGCCAUCUCGACUCACUGCAACCUCCCUGCCUGAUUCUCCUGCCUCAGCCUGCCAAGUGCCUGCGAUUGCAGGCGCGCGCCACCACGCCUGACUGGUUUUCGUAUUUUUUUGGUGGAGACGGGGUUUCGCUGUGUUGGCCGGGCUGGUCUCCAGCUCCUAACCGCAAGUGAUCCGCCAGCCUUGGCCUCCCGAGGUGCCGGGAUUGCAGAUGGAGUCUUGCUCACUCAGUGCUCAAUGGUGCCCAGGCUGGAGUGCAGUGGCAUGAUCUCGGCUCGCUACAACCUCCACCUCCCAGCCGCCUGCCUUGGCCUCCCAAAGUGCCGAGAUUGCAGCCUCUGCCCGGCCGCCACCCUGUCUGGGAAGUGAGGAGCGUCUCUGACUGGCUGCCCAUCGUCUGGGAUGUGAGGAGCCCCUCUGCCUGGCUGCCCAGUCUGGAAAGUGAGGAGCGUCUCUGCCCGGCUGCCAUCCCAUCUAGGAAGUGAGGAGCGUCUCUGCCUGGCCGCCCAUCGUCUGAGAUGUGGGGAGCGCCUCUGCCCUGCCGCCCCGUCAGGGAUGUGAGGAGCGCCUCUGCCCAGCCGUGACCCCGUCUGGGAGGUUUAAAAAUAUUGUCUACACAUACCGAAUCUUCAGAGAGAAACACGGGUAUUACAGGAUACAGACUGCAGAAGGUUCUCCAAAAC